RNAcentral lists this long non-coding RNA (421 nucleotides) under Sorghum bicolor (sorghum). RNAcentral describes it as "long non-coding RNA (SBIC_LNC013814)". Lineage: Eukaryota; Viridiplantae; Streptophyta; Magnoliopsida; Poales; Poaceae. The record is from RNAcentral.
ACCCUGAGGAGCCAAUGAAAAAUUGUGUUGUAAAUAUUAUCCGUGAUGAUAUUGUGUUGUAAAUACUUUAUCCGUGAUGCAUAUGUGUAAAUAUUAUAUUAUGGAACUAUAGAUACAUAUAAUAUAUAUAUAUAUAUAUAGUGUUUUAUAGUAUAUUUAUAUGUAAUGCUUUAAAUUAUAUAAAUUAUAGGUGCGCGUUUACAUAAACUAGCAGCAAAUAAUAUGCAUUCGAAAAUAACAAUAACAUAAUUGUAAACCCUAAAUGGAAAACCAAAAGGAAAGAAAAGGAAAAAAGAAAAAACUCUUUAGUCUCGGUUGGUAACACCAAUCGGGACUACAAGUGGAGGCCAGGUGGCACACCAUGACGCACCUUUUAGUCCCGGUUGCUGUUGCCAACCGGGACUAAAGUCCUGGGCCUCGG